Molecule: microRNA precursor, 84 nt
Filed under: Tetranychus urticae (two-spotted spider mite)
Lineage: Eukaryota; Metazoa; Arthropoda; Arachnida; Trombidiformes; Tetranychidae
Description: let-7 microRNA precursor family
Rfam family: let-7 microRNA precursor family
About the family: This family represents the microRNAs (miRNA) let-7 and mir-98. let-7 was identified from a study of developmental timing in C. elegans, and was later shown to be part of a much larger class of non-coding RNAs termed miRNAs.
Source: Rfam by way of RNAcentral
UCGGUGUGAGGUAGUAGGUUGUAUUGUUGAAAUAUUACACCCCAAUUGGCGGACAUAACUAUACAACUUGCUAGCUUUCCUCGA